CAGGACAAGGGUUAAGUUUAGUUAAAGGUUUCAUUUACAUUGAAAUUAACUCUGUGCAAUUCAGGGUGUUCUGA
This 74-nucleotide transfer RNA is filed under the name Dictyophorus spumans. RNAcentral's name for it is "tRNA-Val". Lineage: Eukaryota; Metazoa; Arthropoda; Insecta; Orthoptera; Pyrgomorphidae. The record is from RNAcentral.